This 21-nucleotide non-coding RNA is filed under the name Arabidopsis thaliana (thale cress). Lineage: Eukaryota; Viridiplantae; Streptophyta; Magnoliopsida; Brassicales; Brassicaceae. The record is from RNAcentral.
UCCUUAGCGGAUUUCGACUUC